Molecule: ribosomal RNA, 459 nt
Filed under: uncultured bacterium
Lineage: Bacteria
Description: bacterial SSU rRNA
Rfam family: Bacterial small subunit ribosomal RNA
Source: RNAcentral
ACUCCUACGGGAGGCAGCAGUGGGGAAUAUUGGACAAUGGGCGAAAGCCUGAUCCAGCCAUGCCGCGUGUGUGAAGAAGGUCUUCGGAUUGUAAAGCACUUUAAGUUGGGAGGAAGGGCAGUAAGUUAAUACCUUGCUGUUUUGACGUUACCAACAGAAUAAGCACCGGCUAACUUCGUGCCAGCAGCCGCGGUAAUACGAAGGGGUGCAAGCGUUAAUCGGAAUUACUGGGCGUAAAGCGCGCGUAGGUGGUUCAGCAAGUUGGAUGUGAAAUCCCCGGGGCUCAACCUGGGAACUGCAUCCAAAACUACUGAGCUAGAGUACGGUAGAGGGUGGUGGAAUUUCCUGUGUAGCGGUGAAAUGCGUAGAUAUAGGAAGGAACACCAGUGGCGAAGGCGACCACCUGGACUGAUACUGACACUGAGGUGCGAAAGCGUGGGGAGCAAACAGGAUUAGAUA